UACGAAGGGUGCAAGCGUUAAUCGGAAUUACUGGGCGUAAAGCGUGCGUAGAUGGUUCGCUAAGUCGGAUGUGAAAGCCCCGGGCUCAACCUGGGAACUGCAUCCGAUACUGGCGGACUAGAGUGUGAUAGAGGAUGGCGGAAUUCCCGGUGUAGCGGUGAAAUGCGUAGAGAUCGGGAGGAACAUCCGUGGCGAAGGCGGCCAUCUGGAUCAACACUGACGUUGAGGCACGAAAGCGUGGGGAGCAAACAGG
RNAcentral lists this non-coding RNA (253 nucleotides) under uncultured bacterium. Its description in RNAcentral is "partial 16S ribosomal RNA". It matches the Rfam family "Bacterial small subunit ribosomal RNA", at positions 524 to 776 of the family's 1533-position model. The record is from RNAcentral. RNAcentral also lists the same sequence under 1 other name.